Molecule: ribosomal RNA, 519 nt
Filed under: uncultured bacterium
Lineage: Bacteria
Description: partial 16S ribosomal RNA
Rfam family: Bacterial small subunit ribosomal RNA
Source: RNAcentral
GACGAACGCUGGCGGCAUGCUUAAUACAUGCAAGUCGAGCGGCCUUGCCUACUUCAGCUUGGUGCUUGGAGCCGAAGAAACGAGUAACAAGUGAGCGCCUGACCGGUAGGGAACACUUGGGUAACCUACGCAAGAUAAUUACAUAACACCUGGAAAGAGAGGCUAAUAGCGGCUAACAACACUAGCCGCAUUUCUAGAGCCUAUAAGAGGGUUCUGCUAUCGUUCGUGAAUGGCCUUCCGGUGCAUUAGCUAGUAGGUAGGGCAACGGCUUACCAAGGCAAUGAUGCAUAGCCGAGAUGAGAGGAUGAUCGGCCACAUUGGGACUGAGACACGGCCCAAACUCCUACGGGAGGCAGCAGUAGGGAAUUUUGGACAAUGGGCGCAAGUCUGAUGGAGCAACGCCGCGUGAGUGAAGAAGGGUUUCGGCUCGUAAAGCUCUGUUGGUAGUGAAGAAAGAUAGUGGGAGUAUAUCGCCUUUAUUUGACGGUACUUACAGAGAAAGUAACGGCUAACUACGUG